AAUAAAAAAAUAAAAAAAAUUAUAUAUACACCACAGAGAAAAACAUUCAGGCAGAGAUGUGUACAUGCAUUUUAUAGAAAAUAAUCACAAGUUCUGUACAAGCUCCCUGCUACCUUUCUACAUGGAUGCCAGCACCACCCAAGUGCAAGGAAAACUAUUUGGAAAGUUAAUGUGAAGAAACCUUGAGUAUUCUACAAAGAAUCUUUAAGGCUGGCAAAGGUCCUUAUCAGCUGUACAUCCACACCUCAGCUUUCUACUGAGAAACUCUGAAGUGAGGGGGGAAAGAGAAAGGAAAAAAAGCUUUAGAACAUUCAGUACUGGUCAGAGAAGAAUUCCUUUGGCUGAUGCAUUCCUGCAGCCACUGAAGUAACAGAAGAUAACAAGUGGAGCAGGUAACUCCCUUAAAAUCCACACUGCCUCACCCAACCCACUCUGACUGAACAGUCAGGAUUCAACUGCAACAAUUCCAGAAAUUUGUGAUGACAGCAAGCCAUGAGUGAGUCUCCACUAUUCCCCAUCCCACCCAGUAAAUAAAACUCCUGUGUCCAUGAUCCUGCUGGACAUUUUCAGCCCAACACCCCCUUCCACAGAAGCCCAGACCCCCAGGACUGGGAGGGUUCAGCUCCCAAUCACCACCAGAACUGCCCAGAGCAAACGCCAGGAUCAACACUUCCAUCCUCUGCUCCAUUGUGAGCUCUGCCAAAGCAGAGCAGAAAACUGCUCAGGCAGAGACUAUUCCUGUCUUUCCUUCCCUACAACUCCCACUGGCCUCUAUUAACAGGCUCUUACUCAUUCCUUGACCCUCACACAUGAAGGAGUUGGAGCUGAGAUCCCAGUUACCAUCUGGAGGUAAAAUAAAAAAAAGGGAAUAGUCAAAUAUAUCCAAUGGGCUGCAUACAUUUAUUUACAUAACUCUGUUGUUUGAUUCACACACACACCAGCAGCUAAGAAAAAAACUUCCCCUAUGUUCUGAUGUCCUCAAAAGAAUGGGGAAGUUAAACUCCAAAUAUUCCAGCUGGGAAGGGAGGGUGAGAUUACAGCAGGAAGAAUUCCUUAAAUUGCAGCACUGUUAACCUCAGCACCUACACUUGUCCCAGUAGCAUUAAUUUCACAUUAAACCUCUUUUUACCAACACAACAAAAAUCCUGUGCUUCCCUCAGACACCCCCACAGUGCACAGGGAGGAUUUUCCAGCUCUUGGUAGUGGAAUUAAGAAGGAUUUUGGUAUCAGUAAAGUUAUUCUGGAAAAGAAAGCAAACAAACAUUAAGCCAAUCCAGACAAUCCUUUGGAUAGCACCUAAAGUGGCAGCACAAACAGGGAAAUAAAAUGCACUGAAAUGGGCUUUGCUGAAGACACACAAGUAGCUAAAUUACUUCUGCAUGUUCCAGCUGGAAUAAUAAACUCCUGGAAGUAGAAAGGAGAAAUGCUGUGACAAAAGGAUGAUAUUUACAGAACUGUAUCCUUUGAAGGGUGGCCUGAGAGGGUUCAGCACAAGGCUGCUGGCUUGCUCUGUACACAAAAGCAACAUUCACCCCUCUAAAAGCCAGAAAACCCCAGGAUUGUCCAAGUUCAAAACCAAGCCUAAGAGCAAUAAACACUGAAAAGCUUAGGCUGUGCUCUAGGAAUAUGAAAGUACUUUACUGGGUUUAUUACUGUUUGUAGAAUUUAGAAAUCUUAAUCUGGAGCACAAUGAAAACACAAACUCAUCACUAUUUUGGAUUAACAACACAUUGCAAAUAUUCCUUUCAGAGGCAGGAAUUUUUUAGCUCAAAUAGCUGUAAACUGUGCAAAAUAAAUAGGUAAGAACUGAGCAAUGCAAGUCCAAAGGGAACCAAAUCCCAAGAGACAGCACAGAUGUUCUGAACAAGAAAAAAAAUAUCACUACAGGCCCCAGACAUUGGUCCUCAGCACCCUCCAAGAAGCCAAAAAGGAACAGUUUCCAAUGGGAUUUAGCAAAAUAACUCUCUGAAAGACAGUGUUUAAGGAAAACAUUUAAUCUGAGACAAGUACACAAACUACUGAAAGAGUGAUUUUGGUGACUGCUGACAUCUCUUCAAGGCUUUCAAAACCAACAAUGCCAGAUUAUUCAAAUGUUAUGCAAAGUUAUGUAAAAAAACCCAAUCUAUUAAUGGAGACUGAAGCCAAGCACAGGUCCCAUUUUAAGGAAUAUAUUUAUCAGCCAGGUUUUCCACACUGUCUGGAGCACCCAGCAGGCAAAUAACAACUGAAAGCUUCUCUUUUGAUCAGAUCAAAUGCAAGAAUUUUGCUAAGAAAACAAAGGGUGAUGCCAGAGGUGGAGGGAAGAACAGCAUUCCUUGCUGCCAAGGAUUUGGGAGGUUCUCCAGAACAAGUGACAACUCACUGGAAGUCUCACUCAUCAAUACUUGCAAGACAUCAAAGAGAUGGAGUGAAAAAAAUAAUCCCUAGAACUCCAAAGUUUUUAAGAUGAACCACUCCCUUCUGACAGAUCUCCUCAAACAUGCAGAAGGGGAAAUAAAGCACAUUUCAAAGACCCUCCCUUCCCCAUCCACAGCCAAUCUCCAGCUGAAAUAAAUGGAAAAUAUGAAUUAAUAGGUAAGACUUGUCCACACUACAAAAAGCUUUGUGGUAUCCAAUAUCCAAACUACAUCACAAGCAGCUCUGCCAGCAGUUUGGGUUAUUUUGUUCAUAUUUUGCCACACCAACACCUGUUCUUCCUUAGAACAGUUUAAUGGCAAAAAGUGACAUGAAGUUUUUUUUGUAAGAGUGAUCUUGUCUAGGACUUAAUCUAAAAAAAUUAUAUUAUGAUUUUUUAAAUUAGUUUACCAGCCCUGACAUUGAGACUCUGUACCAAAGCAAAGAAUGUGGUUUUUAAACACAACAGCCAAGCUGCAUAUGCCUCUCCAGAAGGAAUGCAGUGAAAUGGAUCCACGUGACACAGUUUAACUGGUCCCUCACUGACAGCUGAAGUCUGCAGACCCAUCUGAUUUUCACACAUAAAAGGUGCAGCCCCAGUCUUUGUCAAAGCUCAGCUCUGGCUGAAAAGCAAGCCCAGUUAGGAUGGUUCAACUCCUCCUCUAUAAUUAAUAGAGCCUGCAAGCCACAGGCUGGCCCAGGUGAAGGGAGCAGCUCCCAGAGAUGGCGCAAAAACCACCAGGAAAAGAAAUCCAAUUAGUAGUUAGAGGAGAUGACAUCAGGAAACCUCUUCUAGAUUUUCACUGCUGCUUUUCACCUGCUCAGCAUCACCCAUCCCCUACAAUGACUCUUCCUGCCUCCCAGACCAUCACUCAGAUCCUUUGGAAAAGCUGCACACAGCUCCCAGUAAAUCCUCCCUGACCACUCCAGGUGUCCAACCCUCUCCCAACUCCCAGACAGCCUUUUUGUUGUUGAUUUAUAGCAUCACUUCCCUCUCCACACAGAUUUCUCUUCAUGUCACAGUUCAUCCCAGCAGGACUCCUGCAGGAUGGAUUCAGCACCUCAAAAAUCCAGGGCUGUCAGAAUCCUCUUGCCUGAAGCUGUUUCCCUCUAACACUCCGAGCUUCUUCUCCAAACCUGCUACAAGUUGUGAAGUUGGAGCAGCAGAAACUGUUACGGCAGCGCCAGCCAGGGGCUCUGACCUGCUCCAGUUCCUGCCUCUGCUCUGGCCAAGCGAGCUCCUGCCUCUGCCUUUAAGAAUUGCACAGGAAAUUCAAAUUGCAGCCUGGCCCUGUUCUAUCAGAGCACUCAGAGGACAGGAUUGCAUCGACUGCCAGCAGCACCAUCAUCCCCCUGCCCAGGCUGCAGCUUGGAUUGUGGCUGGGUCCUGCUCCCACAACAAUCACCUCCACACAAAGGUUUAAUUCCUGGCAGCUUUAAGUGUCAUUCACACGAUGAAAUGAGAUCACACCUUGGGUUUGAGAGCGUUUUACACGGUAUUUUACAUAGCCCAACAAAGUGGAGGAGAGGGAGGGAUGUUAUCAUCAAGGACCUGCACAAGAAUCAAAAUCGGUAUUUGUAAAAUGGAACGACUGCAAAAGAAAUCUUGAAAUAGUAAAGCAGUAGCAGAGCACGCUCACUUGCCACAUUUUAAUAAGAAAGCAGACAAACUAAAUGAGGCACUGAAAGAAUAUUCAAGGAAAAUAUUUGAGUAUCACCAAAACCUGUCACAUCUAUCACUGUGAAACGUGGUACUUAAGAGCCUCAAAAUUAGCUACAAACAGGAGUGAAGUGAAAGGUUGUGUCUUCAGUUUCAGUCAUGCUUCCUAUUCUUGGACAGUUAUAAUAAAAACAUGGGGGUUACUAUACAAAUAGAAUUAUUUCAGUUGGAAGGGACCUAAAACAACCUGAUGAUGGCAGGCCCAAAUAUAUAAUUUUUUUUCCCUAGAUAAAAAUCGUGGUCCAAGUAUAUAAAAUACACAAAAUUAAACCAAAUCUUUUAACUCCCUGAAGGCGUGAGCGUGGCACUAACAUGAGCAGAGCUUAAGGAAUGUUUGGACAGUGCUGCUAUCCCAAAAGUGGCUGAGGGCUGGAGAAAGGGGCAGGAGAAAGGGGGAGGUGACAUUGUCACCCUGCACAGCUGUCCCAUCCCAUGGCCACCACACUCAGGAAACAAUGCAGGGAUGGAAGAGUUUUACAGGGAAUUCUGUGUGUCUGUCAAGAGCACUCAGACAGCGGAAAGGCACCACCAGAGACAUUUUUGCUAUUGAAAAUACAAAGGAAUACAAAAGCAGGAAGGUGGAGAAGAGGAAUAACAGCAGGUGGGGAUGACCAAGCACACGGAGGAAGGAAGGAAUGAAGGACAACAGGGAAAGAAAUGUUAUUUUAGCAGAGAGAAACACAAGCCACAGAAAAAGGAUAAAAGGUCAAACUAAAGGAAAAGUAGAAAUGGAAAGUAGAAACAAAACAAUUCCUAUUUGUCUCAUUCUCUGACACUGGUCCUAAAGACACCUCAUGAAAUACCAUCAGCACACAGGAUCAGCAGCACUGAUAAAAACUUUCAUCAGACUUUUUUUUUUUUUUUUUCCAAUAAAAUUGGAAAUAAAGCAGUGGAGGCAGAAUCCUUCAGCUAUCAGGAAGCACAAAGCCAAGUGCCUGGAGUGCCACACUCACACAGAUUAUCAGAAUUGUUUAUAAUGGUGCAGGAAUGGCCUUUUUCAUGCCCCUCCUUUUUUUAAUUCAUGACUUGGGCUAUACUGAGACAGUCCUCGUUUAGCUAAAAAACCCCAAACAUGCUUUAAUUCCCAAAUUCUACAAACUGCUCUGCUGAGCCUGGAUGGGAGGCACAAAUUAAUCAGGACUGAGAGACUGCUGAACUUCAGCUGCCACAGAGCACUUUUCUGAUUUAUGCAAAGCAGUCUGAUAGUAUCCCACAGAGUUGUGAUCAAAAUCUGUCACCUGAUUUACAUUUCCCAGCACAACACAGCAUUUGUUCUCCAUUUUUUGGGCUCUAUUAUGUGGGCAGGUAAAAUAAUUCUAAUGAUACAGGCUUCCUACUUACUUUAAAGAGUCUGCAGAGGAGGGAAAAAGCUGUGUUUUAAGGGGUUUAUUUGUGUUGCCUAUCAAAAGUGAGAGUAAAAAAAAGUUUAAUAGAUUUGUUCCACCUUUAGAUGGGCUGCAUCACUUCAUAGUUAAAAAAAGCAGGCAGAAAUACAUUAGCAUUUCAGACUAAAUAUAGCUGUCAAAAAUGUAAAUUUCUUUUUAAGAAAAACCCCAUGUGCUAAAAAGAACUCAGCUUUUAUGCAUAAUAAAAAGGCAGAUAUGUCUGCUUCGUCAAUAGGCUGCUAAUUUAAUUACAAAACCCAUGGAGAGUCCUAAAAAAAUUCUAAGUACAUCAUGAAUACUUGGUUUGCUCAGCCUGAUUUCAAGCAAAUAUGUUUUAACAAAGAAAUAAACUGGUAAUUGUUGCUGUGUUCUCAUUAUAUAUAUCCUAGUUAUUUUGUUUUUCGUUGAAAAUUUAAUGGGAAACUAAUUUCUAUUAAAUUCCUUCAAUUAUUCCAGUCCUUACUGACCUUCUUACCAGAAGUACCAAGAUAUCUCAGUAUUAAUAAGCCAACAUGUACUAAUUGUUAUUAACCUGCCCCUUUUUAAUGGGUUUUUAGCCAUAUUUUUUCCUCCCAGUAUAAACAUGUAACACAGAACCUCUCAAAUUUAAGAAAGUUUGAGACCUGACCUUGGAAAAUGUGCUGAUUUUAGGAAAAAAUAAUAUAAAAAUCUAAGCUUAGAAAUGGUUCCACAUCACAUCUAAUCAGUAUUACUCAUAAAACUGAGAUAUUCACUAUCACCAGACUGUAAAAGAACACACAGUUCACAAACAUUCCCAGUAUAAACCAGAAAAGCUUUGCCAGAAUGACGAGUUCCAGGUUUUCCAGCAUUUCCCAAGCUCCCAAAAGUAUGAACAGCCAGGAGGUUUAAAAAUCCAGCAAUCUCAACCACCACACUAUGGAUUAGGGACAGGGCAAACAACAUCCAGGCUGGAAAAGUGACCUAUUUAUCCAGAGCACAUCCCUGCAGCCUGCCCUAGUCAAUCCAGACUGCUCUCUCCCCUCAACACUUCUCCUGUGCCAGGAAGGAAUGGGAUGUUGUGCAGCCAACCAGUGAUUUGGCUUUAUUUUUAAUUAUUAUUAAAGCUGUGACAUGGUUACGAGUGUCAGCUGUGAGAAGGGAGCUGGGGGUGGCACUUGGGCUGAGUUAAAGAAGUGACAAAGCUGCACUUUUGAGCAGCAGGAAGUCAGCCAGGGAUUCCCCAAGUUCUCCCUCCUCCCUUUCCCAGUAUCUUGAAAUCAAAUCUGCCAAGCCAGCAUUAAACCAUCCAUCGCCAACUUCCUGAAAUAUUAGGGAUUACCCCUCACUCAAGAGCCUCCUCGCUGCAAUGCACAAGAAUGGAUCUUCUGCUUUCCAGGAAAAUCUAGAUUUUGUGGGCAGAAUGAUUUUAGCUUCCUCAGUUUGCUUUUUCAAAGCACUGUCAUAAGAACUGGGCUUAAGUCUCCUACACUUUGCUUUUAACAAGUUACCUCCACAAGAACUUUUGACAUUCACCACUGGCUUCCACUUUCCUUUUUCCCCCACAUACUCCAACUAUUUAUCAUCUUGUAUUCAGAGCUUGGAAUUUAUUUACAUGAUCUUGUAUUUAGAUCGAGUCAGACACAAAUGUAGCAUAUUGAAAAGAAAUUCUUACAGUUUUUAGAAUCAGUUCUUGAAAACCCCCACUAUGUAAAGUUCUAACACAUUACACAUCAUAUUAUUUAGAGCUAGCCCACAAAAAAAGCCCAAAAUAAAAGCUACUCUGAAAGACACUAUAUUACAAUCUCAGUUUCCAUCAGUUAAGAGUUGUUAGACUGGCAGUGAGCUCUGGUUUCAUUUUUAUUUUAACCCCACAUUCCUCUUUAGCCAUUUUAGAUGAAAAGCCACCCAGGCUAAUUUAGUUAACCAUUCUCAGACAAAAAUGUGGAUAACACAAUUUGUUUCUCCAGGAAGAAAAGAUAUUUUAAAACAAACAAAUUAUAAACCUCACAGGGUGGUAGAUGAUUUGUGCUGAGAUACAAAGUGAUUACAGCUUUGUGAGAACAACUAAAUGACUUGCAACACCUCCAGAGCUCUGAAACGAUGGGGAAUAUUAACUCCUAACAACAAAAACAGAACAAAAAGAGUCACUCCCAUAUUUCAGGUAAUUUAGCACCAUAACAGCAUUAAGCAAUGCUGUUCAAACAGAAAUAAAUGCUGAUGUUUAGAAAAUGCAUGACAAUCUGCAGACGUCUGAAGAGCUCAGACACUCAGCUUCCCUCACGAAAGCUGUGACAUUUCAAAUUAAAUAUCUGCGGCCACCAAAGUCCGGCGGGGGGGACACUCGGGGGAGGGUUUGUGACACACAAAAACAAACGAGCAGCGUCCAGGGUCAGCGCCGGGGAGUUCAGCCAAGUUCAGAAAUCAGACACCGCGCUGCCCCGGCUCCUGUGACAGCGCACAGCUCAGUCUGAGCGCACAUUGCCACCUGUCCUCGUCCGCAGAGAAGUCCUGGCUCUGGAACACCGUGAAAAUACCUCCCCGAUGGACUCACCCGAGCGCCGGAUCGCCUGUGGAGGGUUGGGGAGAAGGAAGGCACCGAGAGCUCGACAGGGACACGCAGGUUUGUAGUCAAGCUUGGACUCCAGCUUCUUGGAAUCAGCCACUUUCCUGACAGCUUUCAUGAAAUCUUCCUGAACUACGAAGUCAUGAUCAGCACGGAUUGCAAACAUCCCUGGGAGGGAGGAUUUAACACAAGACAGAACAUGAAGUUUCACUCAAAAUCAAAUGAAAACACAUCCAGGUUACACUGUGGGCUUUCCCAUGUCUUGGAUGCUGGCAAGAGGGAAUUUUCCUUUCUGAACCAGGGGAUUACUAAAAAGAAAACUUGUUUGAACUCUGA
Poecile atricapillus (Black-capped chickadee) is the source of this 8359-nucleotide long non-coding RNA. RefSeq lists it as uncharacterized. Lineage: Eukaryota; Metazoa; Chordata; Aves; Passeriformes; Paridae. The record is from RefSeq and is a predicted model, not a curated record. The transcript has 2 exons.